Molecule: ribosomal RNA, 2932 nt
Filed under: Proteus mirabilis
Lineage: Bacteria; Pseudomonadati; Pseudomonadota; Gammaproteobacteria; Enterobacterales; Morganellaceae
Description: bacterial LSU rRNA
Rfam family: Bacterial large subunit ribosomal RNA
Source: RNAcentral
GGGUUGUGAGGUUAAGCGAAUAAGCGUACACGGUGGAUGCCUAGGCAAUCAGAGGCGAUGAAGGACGUGCUAAUCUGCGAAAAGCGUCGGUAAGGUGAUAUGAACCGUUAUACCCGACGAUAUCCGAAUGGGGAAACCCAGUAUCCAAUGGAUACUAUCAUUAACUGAAUCCAUAGGUUAAUGAGGCGAACCGGGAGAACUGAAACAUCUCAGUACCCCGAGGAAAAGAAAUCAACCGAGAUUCCCCUAGUAGCGGCGAGCGAACGGGGAGCAGCCCAGAGUCUUAAUCAAUAGCAGUGUCAGGAGAACGGUCUGGAAAGUCCGGCAGUAAAGGGUGAUAGCCCCGUAUCUGAAGAUGCUGUUAUUGUGAACUCGACGAGUAGGGCGGGACACGUGUUAUCCUGUCUGAAUAUGGGGGGACCAUCCUCCAAGGCUAAAUACUCCUGAUUGACCGAUAGUGAACCAGUACCGUGAGGGAAAGGCGAAAAGAACCCCGGCGAGGGGAGUGAAAAAGAACCUGAAACCGUGUACGUACAAGCAGUAGGAGCCUCUUUAUGGGGUGACUGCGUACCUUUUGUAUAAUGGGUCAGCGACUUAUAUUCUGUAGCGAGGUUAACCGUAUAGGGGAGCCGUAGGGAAACCGAGUCUUAACUGGGCGAAUGAGUUGCAGGGUAUAGACCCGAAACCCGGUGAUCUAUCCAUGGGCAGGUUGAAGGUUGGGUAACACUAACUGGAGGACCGAACCGACUAAUGUUGAAAAAUUAGCGGAUGACUUGUGGAUGGGGGUGAAAGGCCAAUCAAACCGGGAGAUAGCUGGUUCUCCCCGAAAGCUAUUUAGGUAGCGCCUCGUGAACUCAUCUUCGGGGGUAGAGCACUGUUUCGACUAGGGGGUCAUCCCGACUUACCAACUCGAUGCAAACUGCGAAUACCGAAGAAUGUUAUCACGGGAGACACACGGCGGGUGCUAACGUCCGUCGUGAAGAGGGAAACAACCCAGACCGCCAGCUAAGGUCCCAAAGUCAUGGUUAAGUGGGAAACGAAGUGGGAAGGCUCAGACAGCCAGGAUGUUGGCUUAGAAGCAGCCAUCAUUUAAAGAAAGCGUAAUAGCUCACUGGUCGAGUCGGCCCGCGCGGAAGAUGUAACGGGGCUAAACCAUGCACCGAAGCUGCGGCAGCGACACAAAGUGUUGUUGGGUAGGGGAGCGUUCUGUAAGCCUGCGAAGGUGUACUGUGAGGUAUGCUGGAGGUAUCAGAAGUGCGAAUGCUGACAUAAGUAACGAUAAUGCGGGUGAAAAACCCGCACGCCGGAAGACCAAGGGUUCCUGUCCAACGUUAAUCGGGGCAGGGUGAGUCGACCCCUAAGGCGAGGCUGAAAAGCGUAGUCGAUGGGAAACGGGUUAAUAUUCCCGUACUGGUGGUAACUGCGAUGGGGGAACGGAGAAGGCUAGGUUGUCCGGGCGACGGUCGUCCCGGUUCAAGCAGGUAGGCAGAGUGAUUAGGCAAAUCCGGUCACUUAAUGCUGAGAUGUGAUGACGAACCACCAAGGUGGUGAAGCAAUUGAUGCCCCGCUUCCAGGAAAAGCCUCUAAGCUUCAGGUUACCAACAAUCGUACCCCAAACCGACACAGGUGGUCAGGUAGAGAAUACUCAGGCGCUUGAGAGAACUCGGGUGAAGGAACUAGGCAAAAUGGUGCCGUAACUUCGGGAGAAGGCACGCUGGCGGUAGGUAAAGUCCCUCGCGGACGGCGCUGAAGCCAGUCGAAGAUACCAGCUGGCUGCAACUGUUUAUUAAAAACACAGCACUGUGCAAACACGAAAGUGGACGUAUACGGUGUGACGCCUGCCCGGUGCUGGAAGGUUAAUUGAUGGGGUCAGCCGCAAGGCGAAGCUCCUGAUCGAAGCCCCAGUAAACGGCGGCCGUAACUAUAACGGUCCUAAGGUAGCGAAAUUCCUUGUCGGGUAAGUUCCGACCUGCACGAAUGGCGUAAUGAUGGCCAGGCUGUCUCCACCCGAGACUCAGUGAAAUUGAACUCGCUGUGAAGAUGCAGUGUACCCGCGGCAAGACGGAAAGACCCCGUGAACCUUUACUAUAGCUUGACACUGAACAUUGAGCCUUGAUGUGUAGGAUAGGUGGGAGGCUUUGAAGUGUGGACGCCAGUCUGCAUGGAGCCAACCUUGAAAUACCACCCUUUAACGUUUGAUGUUCUAACCUAGGCCCAUAAACUGGGUCGGGGACCGUGUCUGGUGGGUAGUUUGACUGGGGCGGUCUCCUCCUAAAGAGUAACGGAGGAGCACGAAGGUUGGCUAAGCAUGGUCGGACAUCAUGCGGUUAGUGCAAAGGCAUAAGCCAGCUUGACUGCGAGAGUGACGGCUCGAGCAGGUACGAAAGUAGGUCUUAGUGAUCCGGUGGUUCUGAAUGGAAGGGCCAUCGCUCAACGGAUAAAAGGUACUCCGGGGAUAACAGGCUGAUACCGCCCAAGAGUUCAUAUCGACGGCGGUGUUUGGCACCUCGAUGUCGGCUCAUCACAUCCUGGGGCUGAAGUAGGUCCCAAGGGUAUGGCUGUUCGCCAUUUAAAGUGGUACGCGAGCUGGGUUUAGAACGUCGUGAGACAGUUCGGUCCCUAUCUGCCGUGGGCGUUGGAAGAUUGAGAGGGGUUGCUCCUAGUACGAGAGGACCGGAGUGAACGCACCACUGGUGUUCGGGUUGUCAUGCCAAUGGCAUUGCCCGGUAGCUAAGUGCGGAAGAGAUAACCGCUGAAAGCAUCUAAGCGGGAAACUUGCCUCGAGAUGAGUCUUCCCUGUCGCUUUAAGCGACCUAAAGGAACGUUUAAGACUAAGACGUUGAUAGGCUGGGUGUGUAAGCGUAGCGAUACGUUGAGCUAACCAGUACUAAUGAACCGUGAGGCUUAACCUGACAACACCGAAAGUGUUUUG